Molecule: non-coding RNA, 122 nt
Organism: Glycine soja
Lineage: Eukaryota; Viridiplantae; Streptophyta; Magnoliopsida; Fabales; Fabaceae
Source: Rfam
UUUUUAUUGGACGAUGACUGACACAUAUUAAGUUUUGAUUAGAUGUCAACCCCAUAAAAGAUGAAAUAGUGACACAUGACAACAUUAUUCAAUAAGAAAGUGACACGCAACCGUCAACGUCG